AAUCUGCCUUUAGGACGGGGACAACAGUUGGAAACGGCUGCUAAAACCCGAUGUGCCCUUCGGGGUGAAAUAUUUAUAGCCUGAAGAUGAGCUCGCGUCUGAUUAGCUAGUAGGUGAGGUAAAGGCUCACCUAGGCGACGAUCAGUAACUGGUCUGAGAGGAUGACCAGUCACACUGGGACUGAGACACGGCCCAGACUCCUACGGGAGGCAGCAGUGGGGAAUUUUCCGCAAUGGGCGCAAGCCUGACGGAGCAAUACCGCGUGAGG
This 268-nucleotide ribosomal RNA is filed under the name uncultured bacterium. Its description in RNAcentral is "partial 16S ribosomal RNA". It matches the Rfam family "Bacterial small subunit ribosomal RNA", at positions 123 to 406 of the family's 1533-position model. The record is from RNAcentral.